AUGUACAACACGUAUGCCGGCAAGAUUGGGUUUACUAUCAGAAAGAGCCAGACAAAGCGCCGCCAAGAUCGAACUAUAUCCCAGAAAUAUAUAGUUUGCAAUAAUCAGGGAGAACGAGAAACCGAGUCAUCAAAGUCCACUACAAGAACAGGUUGUCAGGCUCGUGUUCAAUUUAGUGUCAGUAGAGAGGGGAUUUGGACAGUGCAAAAGGUUGUAACCGAUCACAAUCAUUAUCUUGCUAGUCCCAAUAAGUUACACAAGCUGAGAUCCCAACGACGUGUUGUAGAAGCGGACAGAGCGCUAAUUGGCCAGAUACGUGAAGCUGGGAUGAAGCCAUCUCAGGUGUAUGAUUUCAUGGUAGCGUUCUAUGGAGGAGUCGACAAAGUGCCAUUCUCAAAAAUGGAUUGCAAUAAUGAGAUUGUAAGGAAAGGAAGAAGUAUUUAG
Molecule: ribosomal RNA, 444 nt
Filed under: Triticum aestivum (bread wheat)
Lineage: Eukaryota; Viridiplantae; Streptophyta; Magnoliopsida; Poales; Poaceae
Description: partial small subunit ribosomal RNA
Source: RNAcentral